RNAcentral lists this long non-coding RNA (1520 nucleotides) under Chrysemys picta bellii (western painted turtle). RNAcentral's name for it is "lncRNA (ENSCPBG00000012935.1)". Lineage: Eukaryota; Metazoa; Chordata; Testudines; Emydidae. The record is from RNAcentral.
CUUGCAGGAUGCCGCCAAGAUUGAUGCCUCCCUGCUGGCACUAUGGCAGAAGAUAAAUGCCCUGAACACCUUCCUGAUCCCACGCAUCUCGUUCACCCUAAGGGGAUCUGCUGUGGCGAAGGUGCCCCUCAACAAGGCAGACAAGAUCAUCCGGAAGCUGGUGAAGAAGUGGCUGUUCCUUCCCCAGAGAGGCAGCAACGAGCUGGUCUACAUCGCCCACAGGCACGGCGGCGCCAACAUCCCCCGCAUGGGUGACCUGUGUGACGUCGCGGUGAUCACCCACGCCUUCCACCUGCUGACAUGUCCCAACGCCAUGAUAAGGAACAUCGCGGCGAAUGCCCUGCAUGGUGUGACAGAGAAGUGGAUUGGCAGAGCCCCCUACAACCAAGACCUCGCCACCUUCCUGAGCGGCUCCCUGGAUGGGGAAUUCGGAUGGGACAGGCGCAACAUCGCUUCACUGUGGUCCCACACUCGCAACGCCACGCGUCACCUAGGGAAGCGCAUCGGCUGCCGCUGGGAGUGGUGCGAGGAGCGCCAGGAGCUAGGAGUCUGGGUGCCGCAGAUCAGGUCUGAUGACAAUACCAUCGUCACCCCGAGCGCCAGGGGCUUGCUGGAGAGGACUCUGAAGGCCACCAUCCACUCGCUGUACGUGGAAACCCUGAAGCGUAAACCGGACCAGGGUAAAGCCUUUGAGUUGACCAGCAAGUGGGACGCCAGCAACCACUUCCUCGCCGGGGGCGGCUUCACCCGUUUCACCGACUGGCGGUUCAUCCACCGUGCCUGGCUCAGCUGCGUCCUGCUCAACGGAGCCGUCUGCCACGGGAACCAAGACAAGCAUUGUAGGAAGUGCGGCUACUCCAACGAGACCCUACCCCACAUCCUGUGCAGCUGCAAACCCCACUCCAGAGCCUGGCAGCUGCGCCACAACGCCAUCCAGAACCACCUGGUGAAAGCCAUUGCACCACACCUGGGGGAGAUCUCCGUGAACUGCACCAUCCCUGGUACCGACAGCCAGCUACGACCUGACGCGGUCGUCACCAACCAGACCCAGAAAAAGAUCAUCCUCAUCGACGUCAUGGUCUCCUUUGAGAACAGGACCCUGGCAGUUCGCGAAGCCCGAGCUCGUAAGCUGGGAAAGUACACCCCCCUGGCUGACACCCUGAGAGCGAAGGGCUACGAGGUGCAGAUGGACGCCCUGAUUGUCGGAGCCCUGGGCGCCUGGGACCCCUGCAACGAGCGUGUGCUGCGGACCUGCGGGAUCGGUCGACGCUACGCACAGCUCAUGCGGUGCCUCAUGGUCUCAGACACCAUCCGAUGGUCCAGGGACAUCUACAUCGAGCACAUCACCGGCCACCGACAGUACCAGGAGGCGUGAGCCAGAGUGACAUCGUUCUCCCACUACGAGAAAGGGACCAAGUGACCUUCUCUGUUGGAUCAUAUGAACUGGAACCAUAAAUUCCCUGAACAUUAAAUCUCAUCAAAUGAGGGUCAAUCCAUCCUCAUCAUCAUAUCCACUCAUU